This 546-nucleotide small RNA is filed under the name Pan troglodytes (chimpanzee). RNAcentral describes it as "processed transcript". Lineage: Eukaryota; Metazoa; Chordata; Mammalia; Primates; Hominidae. The record is from RNAcentral.
CUUCACGAGAAGUUUGACCUUCUAAAGCGGACACACCAAGAAGAAAAGAAGAAAGUGGAAGACAAGAAGAAGGAGCUUGAGGAGGAGGUGAACAACUUCCAGAAGAAGAAAGCAGCGGCUCAGUUACUACAGUCCCAGGCCCAGCAAUCUGGGGCCCAGCAAACCAAGAAAGACAAGGAUAAGAAAAACUGACCAUCUGCCUCUUGAGAGAGAGAGAAGUGGGCAUCCUUCCUUUAAAUUCAGGAACCACUGUUGUUUUAUUUGACUUUUUCUGUUACUUGCAUCCCUUAUAUAAGUUGUUUUGGAUUUGGGACUAUGUUUUGGGGGAGAAAAACUCCAGUUAGUUCUGUUUUUUGUAUUGGUUAUUCAGCUUACUUUUGGUAUCAAAAUUAUGCCAGUUUUAAGCUCACUUGAGUGAAGUUUAAGUCACAAGAUUCUGUUUAACAUGCUUUCCUUGUUUUGGAAACAACCAAAAACUUCCCUUUUUUGUUACGGGAUUUUGACCUACAAAUCCUAAUCAUGUUUAAAAUGUGCCGGUGUUGGGUA